AAAAAAUUAGUUAAUUUAUAACAUUAGAAUGUCAACCUGAAAUUAUUUUUAAAAAUAUUUUUUA
This 64-nucleotide transfer RNA is filed under the name Diptera sp. 69 LC-2017. RNAcentral's name for it is "tRNA-Asp". The record is from RNAcentral. Lineage: Eukaryota; Metazoa; Arthropoda; Insecta; Diptera.